CGGGCAGUAGCUCAAUGGUGGAGCUCCCGCUUCGUAUGCUGGAGGACCUGGGUUCGAUACUCGGCGGCUUAC
RNAcentral lists this transfer RNA (72 nucleotides) under Toxocara canis (dog roundworm). It matches the Rfam family "tRNA". From Rfam's summary of the family: Transfer RNA (tRNA) molecules are approximately 80 nucleotides in length. Lineage: Eukaryota; Metazoa; Nematoda; Chromadorea; Rhabditida; Toxocaridae. The record is from Rfam by way of RNAcentral.